Molecule: long non-coding RNA, 1118 nt
Organism: Salvelinus sp. IW2-2015
Lineage: Eukaryota; Metazoa; Chordata; Actinopteri; Salmoniformes; Salmonidae
Source: RefSeq, a predicted model, not a curated record
CCCCACAACCCUGGCAAAUCUAUUUCCUAUCCCCAAAUUCCUCCGCUCUCCUGACCUGAACUCAUUAGAGUAGGGUGGGACCACGUCGGCUCAGGAGCGAUCUCCCGAUUACCACUAUCCCCAAGCCAUGCAUCUCUGCGGUAGGAGGUGGAAUAGAUGGCAUCUCAUCUACGCUGGCCUUGAUGAAGGGGGAGUUUUUGUCAGUGUUCCACCACUGAGGGGCCUGGUCAGUGGUGCUGGGCCUGGGUCCUGUCCAGUCUGACCUCAAUGGUGCUGGGCCUGAGAAGAGAAGCAUGGAGCUGCUCCAGAGCCCUGAGGGCUGGAGUGGCGCCCACACACAGCUCGCUGAUGAUGAGGCCUGAUAAUUACCUCCAUACUCUCUGACGCAGGACCAGGAUGGGGGAAAGAGGACAAGUAGGAAAAGAGACAGACAGCUAACAUCAACUACAGCUGGAGCACAGACAUUCAAAAAAAGACUWUAUACUCCUUUGAAUGUGAUUUAGGCUACUGUAUAAUUAAGAAUUGGGUGAAGCGAUGUACAUGAUUAAACAUGAUGUAUGUAAACAUGCUAUGUUAUUAUAUUUGUAUGUUGAUGGAGAAAAAAACAGUCGGAAAGGGAACGGGGGAUACCUAGUCAGUUGCACAACGGAAUGGAUUCAACCUGAAAUGUGUUUUGCGCAUUUAACCCAAACCCUCUGAAUCAGAGGUGCGGAGGGCGGCCUUAAACAACGUCCACAUUAUCGGUAGUAAUCAUGUACUCAACAGCUUCUUGAUUGUUCCAGAAAAGGAAUGUAUCUGUUAAUCAUUCUCACCAAAACUCAGAGACAGGUCAACGCAGUUAACAGAAACUCUAUCCUUGUUAAACACUGCCCUCCUAUGGAUGGAGAGUGGCACUGUGACACUAUUCAGAGAACGCCGUGAUGGUGAUUUUCUGGUUUCACUGGAUUUACAGGUCACCAGGGGUCUCUCUUUGGGCACAGAUAGAAUGGAAGCUAUGAAUAUGUAAUUUUCCAACUUUUGCUGACCCUUUAUCAUUGAUCUAAUGUAUAUGAUUAUGUCAUGCCAAUGAGCWUCACUUGCUCUGUGUUACAGUAAAUGUUGAUAGUCAAUAGUCAACA